AAAAACAAAAAUUUAAUUGCAAAGACAAUGUCAUAAAUAAGAAGUAGGCAUAAAAAAAAUCAGAAAGAAAACAACAUUUUGAUGGUUAAAAAAAAGGUGAAAGAACAUGAAAAGUAAGGGUAAAAAAAUGGAAAAAAUUGGAAAAAUGGUGAGAAAAAGUGGCAACAAGGGAUUGAACCCAGGUAUUGGGGGAGGGUGGCAUGAAGCUUCAACCAAUCCCCCCACGGUCCUAUUGCUAUCAACUAUAUGCAAUGGUAGAUAUAUAUUAUAUAAUGUGUUAUAGAAUGGAAAAUAAAAUAAAAUAAACAUUAAAACAAAUGAAGAAACAGUGUGCCUGGGUAUCGAGAUUGGGACUUGGGGGUGGGAGGUGUGAGCCUCAACCCCUCCCCCAUGUCCCUCAAUCUAUUACCAUACGAAACACAUUAAUAUCCAUAAAAACAAAACGCACUAAAAAAA
Molecule: long non-coding RNA, 456 nt
Filed under: Lathyrus oleraceus (garden pea)
Lineage: Eukaryota; Viridiplantae; Streptophyta; Magnoliopsida; Fabales; Fabaceae
Description: Pisum sativum (pea) long non-coding RNA (PSAT_LNC036021)
Source: RNAcentral